AACAAUCACUUCGCUGGGACGCUGGAAGCAAGGGUGGAGAGUUCGAUUCCUGGAGUUAACACUGGGUGCUAAAAUGGAGGGGAAGCCAUUUGGUUGAACAAACGCCCAGCGAGGAGAGCUCUCUUUGCGGAAGGAGUCCAAAUGAGUUGUGGGAACCUGGGAGCCAACAAGGGCACAUCCUGCGAUUUACCUCCCUGAGCUGCUGAGGGGCCGGAG
RNAcentral lists this long non-coding RNA (216 nucleotides) under Olea europaea (common olive). Its description in RNAcentral is "long non-coding RNA (OEUR_LNC006234)". The record is from RNAcentral. Lineage: Eukaryota; Viridiplantae; Streptophyta; Magnoliopsida; Lamiales; Oleaceae.